This 873-nucleotide non-coding RNA is filed under the name Subdoligranulum variabile DSM 15176. RNAcentral describes it as "Bacterial large subunit ribosomal RNA". It matches the Rfam family "Bacterial large subunit ribosomal RNA", at positions 2045 to 2912 of the family's 2925-position model. Lineage: Bacteria; Bacillati; Bacillota; Clostridia; Eubacteriales; Oscillospiraceae. The record is from Rfam by way of RNAcentral.
UAGUACCGGUGAAGAUGCCGGUUUCCCGCGACAAGACGGAAAGACCCCAUGGAGCUUUACUGUAGCCUGAUAUUGGGUUUCGGUGUUGCAUGCACAGGAUAGAUGGGACGCUAGGAAGCAGAGGCUUUGGCCUUUGUGGAGCGGACGUUGGGAUACCAUCCUUGCGACAUUGGAAUUCUAACCUGCGCCCUUGAAUCAGGGCGGGGGACAUUGUCAGGUGGGCAGUUUGACUGGGGCGGUCGCCUCCUAAAAUGUAGCGGAGGCGUUCAAAGGUUCGUUCGAUCUGGACGGAAACCAGAUGAAAGAGUGCAAACGCAUAAACGAGCCUGACUGCGAGACUGACGGGUCGAGCAGAGACGAAAGUCGGAGUUAGUGAUCCGGUGGUAUGUGAGUGGAAAUGCCAUCGCUCAACGGAUAAAAGUUACCCUGGGGAUAACAGGCUGAUCUCCCCCAAGAGUCCACAUCGACGGGGAGGUUUGGCACCUCGAUGUCGGCUCAUCGCAUCCUGGGGCUGAAUUCGGUCCCAAGGGUUUGGCUGUUCGCCAAUUAAAGCGGUACGCGAGCUGGGUUCAGAACGUCGUGAGACAGUUCGGUCCCUAUCUGUCGUGGGCGCAGGAUAUUUGAAAGGCGCUGUCCCUAGUACGAGAGGACCGGGAUGGACGAACCUCUGGUGCACCAGUUGUCACGCCAGUGGCACAGCUGGGCAGCUAUGUUCGGAUCGGAUAAACGCUGAAAGCAUCUAAGCGUGAAGCCGGCCUUAAGAUAAGAUAUCCCACUGAGUCAAUCAGGUAAGACCCCUUGAAGACUACAAGGUUGAUAGGCACAAUGUGUAAGUGGAGUGAUCCAUUCAGCAAGCGUGUACUAAUAGGUCGA